CGCACAUUGCGCCCCUUGGUAUUCCGGGGGGCAUGCCUGUUCGAGCGUCAUUUCAACCCUCAAGCCUUGCUUGGUCUUGGGCGCUGCCGGAAACGGCUGGCCCUAAAAUCAGUGGCAGUGUCGGUAGGCUCUAUGCGUAGUAGUUAUUCUCGCUAUUGAGACCUGCUGCACCCGCGCCAGCAACCCCUAAUUUUCUAUGGUUGACCUCGGAUCAGGUAGGGAUACCCGCUGAACUUAA
Molecule: unclassified non-coding RNA, 238 nt
Filed under: Rodwayella sessilis
Lineage: Eukaryota; Fungi; Ascomycota; Leotiomycetes; Helotiales; Pezizellaceae
Description: partial contains 5.8S ribosomal RNA, internal transcribed spacer 2, and large subunit ribosomal RNA
Source: RNAcentral